Molecule: long non-coding RNA, 113 nt
Organism: Aricia agestis (brown argus)
Lineage: Eukaryota; Metazoa; Arthropoda; Insecta; Lepidoptera; Lycaenidae
Exons: 3
Source: RefSeq, a predicted model, not a curated record
GAAGAUUAUUGCUGUAUUUUUAUUAUAAUUUUGUAGCUUUCAAAUUAUGAGUUAGUAAGGCUCUAAAAACGGCAAAUUACGGUAUCUCCGUAGGGAGAGCCCUUAAGAUUUAA